RNAcentral lists this transfer RNA (85 nucleotides) under Caldanaerobacter subterraneus subsp. tengcongensis MB4. RNAcentral's name for it is "tRNA-Leu (TAG) (tRNA-Leu-TAG-1-1)". It matches the Rfam family "tRNA". Rfam says of the family: Transfer RNA (tRNA) molecules are approximately 80 nucleotides in length. Their secondary structure includes four short double-helical elements and three loops (D, anti-codon, and T loops). The record is from RNAcentral. Lineage: Bacteria; Bacillati; Bacillota; Clostridia; Thermoanaerobacterales; Thermoanaerobacteraceae. RNAcentral also lists the same sequence under 4 other names.
GCGGGCAUGGCGGAAUUGGCAGACGCGCCAGACUUAGGAUCUGGUGGGGUUUCCCGUGGGGGUUCAAGUCCCUUUGCCCGCACCA